UUAGUCUCAGUUCGGAUUGUAGGCUGAAACUCGCCUACAUGAAGCUGGAGUUGCUAGUAAUCGCGAAUCAGCAUGUCGCGGUGAAUACGUUCCCGGGCCUUGUACACACCGCCCGUCACACCAUGAGAGUUGGGAAUACCCGAAGCCUGUGAGCUAACUUUUAGAGGCAGCAGUCGAAGGUAGAAUCAAUGAUUGGGGUGAAGUCGUAACAAGGUAUC
This 218-nucleotide ribosomal RNA is filed under the name uncultured bacterium. Its description in RNAcentral is "partial 16S ribosomal RNA". It matches the Rfam family "Bacterial small subunit ribosomal RNA", at positions 1282 to 1500 of the family's 1533-position model. The record is from RNAcentral.